GUUUAGAGAAGUUAAUUUCUUUCUGGUUAUAGACCUUGUUACUUCAGGGGUAAGCCAGCAUGAAGAUUGAAUGAAUGCAUGUGAAUGAGCAAAGACAAGGUAGCAAGAAGAGAUUUGGGUUCCACCAAUGGAAAGUUCUGGAACAGAAGUAAGCAGAAGAUAUUGUUGUGAUUUGCUCAAAAAUGAGACAGAACAUUUUCAUUACUCCUUAGGGAUGUCUAUUGAGAGCAUGCAAAAGG
This is a long non-coding RNA of Pezoporus flaviventris, 239 nucleotides long. RefSeq lists it as uncharacterized. NCBI's taxonomy places the organism in Eukaryota, Metazoa, Chordata, Aves, Psittaciformes, Psittacidae. The transcript is spliced from 2 exons. The record is from RefSeq and is a predicted model, not a curated record.